This 500-nucleotide ribosomal RNA is filed under the name uncultured bacterium. RNAcentral describes it as "partial 16S ribosomal RNA". It matches the Rfam family "Bacterial small subunit ribosomal RNA", at positions 30 to 523 of the family's 1533-position model. The record is from RNAcentral.
AUUGAACGCUGGCGGCAUGCCUUACACAUGCAAGUCGAACGGCAGCACGGGAGCAAUCCUGGUGGCGAGUGGCGAACGGGUGAGUAAAGUAUCGGAACGUGCCCAGUCGUGGGGGAUAACGUAGCGAAAGUUACGCUAAUCCCGCAUACGAUCUAUGGAUGAAAGCGGGGGAUCGCAAGACCUCGCGCGAUUGGAGCGGCCGAUAUCAGAUUAGGUAGUUGGUGGGGUAAAGGCUCACCAAGCCGACGAUCUGUAGCUGGUCUGAGAGGACGACCAGCCACACUGGGACUGAGACACGGCCCAGACUCCUACGGGAGGCAGCAGUGGAGAAUUUUGGACAAUGGGCGAAAGCCUGAUCCAGCCAUGCCGCGUGCAGGAUGAAGGCCUUCGGGUUGUAAACUGCUUUUGUACGGAACGAAAAGGUUUGGGCUAAUAAGCUGAGCUCAUGACGGUACCGUAAGAAUAAGCACCGGCCAACUACGUGCCAGCCGCCGCCGUAA